AAGAAGGGAAUUCACUAAGAUCCUACUAGCCUCCGCGAAGUAAUGCCUAACUGUGGACCCGCGGAGGAAAAUGGUCGGCGAUGUAUGCGUGAGGAGAGGUUUUAGUACUUAGGCGCCACGGAUGACGAUUCGUGCAUGCUGCGGACCAGUAGUAUCUUUUGAAAAUUUCUAACUACACCUCAC
Glossina pallidipes is the source of this 183-nucleotide non-coding RNA. Lineage: Eukaryota; Metazoa; Arthropoda; Insecta; Diptera; Glossinidae. The record is from Rfam.